This is a long non-coding RNA of Chroicocephalus ridibundus (black-headed gull), 3214 nucleotides long. RefSeq lists it as uncharacterized. The record is from RefSeq and is a predicted model, not a curated record. Lineage: Eukaryota; Metazoa; Chordata; Aves; Charadriiformes; Laridae. The transcript is spliced from 4 exons.
AGCAUCCUAACGCUCAUAAGAAAAAGCAGAUUCCUAGUAAUGAAGUUGCUUAUCCUUUUCCAAAUUAGAAGAUGCAGGACUUAGCUCCUUAAUUAAUGCAGUAGAGCUAUGACAUCAAGUAUAUGUUGAUCCAACUGGACGUAGACUAUUUGGGGACCAAGUGGAAAGCCUAUCUUCCUGCCAACACUUACCAACUCCACAGGAAAGGCAGCAGGAGAAAAGCCGGCUUGGGCAGCAUCCACUGGAGUGCAGACUGAUGCAUUAGCUUCCAAACAUCUUUGCCUUCAGCCAGUUGGGCAAGAGACAUGGCACUGGGGUGUUAGAGCAUCAGGCAUACCUCCGUUCUGGCAAUCCUGAUGCAGAGACAGCUGUAUCCUGUAGAGGGAGAGAGAAUCGGAUUUAUAAUUUCUCUGGACACUCCAGCAAGAUUUGUCACAGCUUGUCUGUCAAGGCCCUUAGAUUUCUCAUAGGUUAAAAAUGGGCAAGACUACUUGUAUUUACUUUUGUGAAGAAUUUGGAGAUGUACAGACAGAAAGCAUCAGGCGGGCACUAAGUACGCUUUUUUGAAAUAAAGCACCAAUCAGUUAGAAAUAUUGAAAAGCUAUACAAAUGAGACUACUUGACAGCAACUUUUGAAUGUGCAUAAAUUUAGACACCUUUGCAGCCAUGGUGCAAGGUGUCAAUGCAUUUAGCAUUUUAACACGUAUUUCUUUUUGCUGCAAUUCAGACAAAUUGAUUGGUCUGCGUGAUUAGGGAAAGUUUCUGUGUUGAUCACUGGACCUGACAGGUAAUCCUUGCCUUAAGGACUUGUCUGCAUUAGACUCUUUUCAUCUUAAAAUUUCCUACAUUUAUUUCUGUCGGUGAAACCCAUGAAUUUUGUGAGAGUAGGGUGGGACCUUUUAGGGUACAUUCCGGGCAUGAUUAGCAACGUUGGCCUGACUCUGCACGGCCGUGCAACCUGCGCAUUGUCAGUCUGUUGUCUGUUGCAGUGGCUAAACAACGUGCAGGUAAUGUAGAAUCAAGAACUUUACGGUUUGCACUUAUGUGGCAUUUGGCCUCAUCUUUACUCACUAAACAGCUGUCAUCCUGACAGGGUUUUAUUGUUAUGAUUUUUAAGGAAUGGAGCAAACCCAUGUGGUUAAUGCAUACUCUUCAGGGUCAGUUCUCAAUCGUCUUUCAGAUGACAGUAUUCCUUCCUCCCUGGCCUCUCAGCUGAAGCAGCUAGUGCCUUUUCAGCUUGAAUUGCUGAUACAUGAGACUCUUCAAACGGGACUGCAAAUUAGAGGGUGAGACCACUGCUGACAGAUGUGAUCUGUAAGGCUCUGUGCUAACUGAUACUCUCUGUGUGCUAUGUAAGUCUGUGGACACUUGUCGGUAUUAAAACUGGAAACUGAGCAGCUUAACGCUGUUGUGAAGAGAGCACUGCACAUUAACAGUUCAUCUAAGGUAAUUUUCUCUCCCGCCCUGCUGCAAAACAGUCCCUAAAAAAUUUGAUACACAGUUCAGACUGUCAGUUCACAAGAUUAUGAAUGUGUUCAAACUGCAAAGUGUCAUCGGGAUGAAAAGAAGCUGAGUAUUUUCCAUCAGAAAGCAUUUGGUCUAAGCAUAACAUCAAGCUUUUACAACUUUCUUUAUCCAAGCUCUCAUCCAGAUGUAACAACCAUUCAUUGAUCCUUGCAAAACUCCUGGGAGAAAAUUCUGUGUAACGUAUCUCAAAUCAAUGGAACUGCAUCCUCUUUUUUAAAGCAAAUUAAAGCAUGCUUUGAAACAUUUUCCUCGAGGUAUUUACAACCCUGACACCAUAGCAGAUUUAGUUCUGGCAAGACAGAAGGAGCAAGCCACCAGGGACAAAAGAAAGAUAUUUAAUCUUUCUUAUAAAAGCAAAAAAGUAAACAAACCGCAGAGUUGGCAAAGGAUAAAUAUGAAGAUUAAAAAUCACUGGAGGGGAAAUUCUUCCUCCCCGCUAUCCUUCUGAAUGUCAGUGUCUCUCAGUGUGACUUAGCCGUGCUGAGGCUAGACAGCAAAGCAAAGGCCAGCACCAGCACGGGCUCCCAGCUCUCCCUUUCAGCCACUGACAAUGACUGCCACACUGUGCAAGCGACAACUUGGAGGGGGCGGCAGCGAGGGAAAGUGCAAACAUGCUGGAAUUCCUCAGCUAACUGCGAUUGACAACAGCGGCCAGAAAGAGCUCCUUCAAGACAUGCCUUAACCCCACUUGGUCACCGUUCUCUGCACUGCCUGGCUUUAACCACUGCGUGCCUGGGUUCUCCCAGCAGGAAGCCAGUCAUACACCGGCUCACCCUCCUGCGAUGGCAAUGCUGCCUGCAGGACUGUGCCUUUCCUCAGUCAGGACCUAGCAGAUGCACUUUCUGCUGCGGAGAGGGCAGAUGCGAGGGAGGAUGCCUGCCCAGGGCAUGGUGCGCAUGGAUCCAGAGUUGUUUAAACUUCAUAGGAUCACUGAGACAUGGAAUUUUCUCACUACAGCCCCGAAAGAAAGGUGAACUGCAUUGUUAAAUAAUUUGUACAAUGUCACUGAGGACUGCCCGACUUCUUGUCCUCACUGUCUGAGCUGGGGUAGGAGGUUGCUGCUGCCAGAUUACCCCUGGCCAUCUGCCCCACAGUCCUUGCUAGAAUCUGCAAGGUAACUUAAAGUAUAGCUACUGCCUAAUCCUUUGCUGUCAAAAUCAUCCACUUUAACUAAAGUCAAAUUUUUCUUGCUUGCUUGUGUGCCCUCUCUCUCUCUCUCUUUCAUUGGACAGCUGGAGCAAAUACAUGCUAUCCCAGCAGAUGGAAAGGGAAAGAGAUCUUUUGUGGAUGGGAUAAAAAGAAACCAAAGGACAGUGAGCUCUUUACCUGGUUCAGCUGCAACCCUCAGCUCUUUGAAAAUUGGUACCAGAGUUAGGAAUGCUCUUCAGAAAGGAUGACUCUCCUCAUUGUCCCCCUCAUAGACCACACUGCAGAGCUUUUCCCAGAACUCAUUUCUGGGAAGCACAUGAUGCUGAAGACCUGUUGGAUCACGCAGCCAAAGCAAAGGCGAUAUGUUGUGGAUUCAUCCCGUCAUCAAGUGCAUUACAAAGCAAACCAAUUAAAGGUCACAUCUGUUAGUCACAAAUCUUGUGGUUUGGCUCUUAUUGAACAGCAGGCUGUGUGAGAGCAGGACGUGUGUGUGCUCAGGGCUGUCUUCCUAUAGAGUGUGCUGCAGAGAGGAUGUGUG